GACGUAGGGCGCGAGCGUUGUCCGGAUUUACUGGGCGUAAAGCGCACGUAGGUGGGUGAUUAAGUCGAAUGUGAAACCCCCGAGCUUAACUUGGGGACUGCAUGCGAUACUGAACACCUAGAGUAUGGUAGAGGGAAGUGGAAUUUCCGGAGUAGCGGUGAAAUGCGCAGAUAUCGGGAGGAACACCGGUGGCGAAGGCGGUUCUCUGGGCCUUACCUGACGCUGAGGAGCGAAAGCGUGGGGAGCGAACAGG
RNAcentral lists this ribosomal RNA (253 nucleotides) under uncultured bacterium. RNAcentral describes it as "partial 16S ribosomal RNA". It matches the Rfam family "Bacterial small subunit ribosomal RNA", at positions 524 to 776 of the family's 1533-position model. The record is from RNAcentral.